This 335-nucleotide long non-coding RNA is filed under the name Trifolium pratense (red clover). Its description in RNAcentral is "long non-coding RNA (TPRA_LNC010988)". The record is from RNAcentral. Lineage: Eukaryota; Viridiplantae; Streptophyta; Magnoliopsida; Fabales; Fabaceae.
UGUGAAUGAGUCUUUGACCAGUGGAGCAUAGUCUCCAACUUCUACUACAGCCCACAUAUUGAUAUUUUGUGACCUAAGAAACAAUUCCAUCUUGUCUUUCCAGUAGUAGUAGUCAUUUCCUUCAAAAAGAGGUGGUCUAUUUGAUGAUCCUCCUUCUGAGAUGAAUUUUGCAGGUUUAGACAUUACUUCCUUCCUGAAUCUUUUCCUCAAGCACUUGUUAGAUGCUUAGCUUUUAGAGGCAGUGCUCUGAUGCCAAUUGAAGUAACAACGUUUGUCACAAGAAAGGGGGGUUUGAAUUGUGACGCUUUAAAAAUUUAACUGCAAAAUAAUUUAAG